CCUACGGGUGGCAGCAGUGAGGAAUAUUGGUCAAUGGGCGUAAGCCUGAACCAGCCAAGUCGCGUGAGGGAUGAAGGUUCUAUGGAUCGUAAACCUCUUUUAUCAGGGAAUAAAGUGCGGGACGUGUCCCGUUUUGUAUGUACCUUAUGAAUAAGGAUCGGCUAACUCCGUGCCAGCAGCCGCGGUAAUACGGAGGAUCCGAGCGUUAUCCGGAUUUAUUGGGUUUAAAGGGUGCGUAGGCGGCCUUUUAAGUCAGCGGUGAAAGUCUGUGGCUCAACCCUAGAAUUGCCGUUGAAACUGGGAGGCUUGAGUAUGUUUGAGGCAGGCGGAAUGUAUGGUGUAGCGGUGAAAUGCUUAGAGAUCAUACAGAACACCGAUUGCGAAGGCAGCUUACCAAGGUACUUCUGACGUUGAGGCACGAAAGCGUGGGGAGCGAACAGGAUUAGAUACCCCAGUAGUC
Molecule: ribosomal RNA, 460 nt
Filed under: uncultured bacterium
Lineage: Bacteria
Description: partial 16S ribosomal RNA
Rfam family: Bacterial small subunit ribosomal RNA
Source: RNAcentral